This 849-nucleotide ribosomal RNA is filed under the name Isoptericola sp. JSM 077022. Its description in RNAcentral is "bacterial SSU rRNA". It matches the Rfam family "Bacterial small subunit ribosomal RNA", at positions 56 to 913 of the family's 1533-position model. The record is from RNAcentral. Lineage: Bacteria; Bacillati; Actinomycetota; Actinomycetes; Micrococcales; Promicromonosporaceae.
UGCAAGUCGAACGGUGAAGCCCAGCUUGCUGGGUGGAUCAGUGGCGAACGGGUGAGUAACACGUGAGCAACCUGCCCUCCACUUCGGGAUAAGCCUUGGAAACGGGGUCUAAUACCGGAUAUGAGCACAUGGCGCAUGUCGUGUGUUGGAAAGUUUUUCGGUGGGGGAUGGGCUCGCGGCCUAUCAGCUUGUUGGUGGGGUGAUGGCCUACCAAGGCGUCGACGGGUAGCCGGCCUGAGAGGGCGACCGGCCACACUGGGACUGAGACACGGCCCAGACUCCUACGGGAGGCAGCAGUGGGGAAUAUUGCACAAUGGGCGAAAGCCUGAUGCAGCGACGCCGCGUGAGGGAUGACGGCCUUCGGGUUGUAAACCUCUUUCAGCAGGGAAGAAGGCCUUCGGGUGGACGGUACCUGCAGAAGAAGCGCCGGCUAACUACGUGCCAGCAGCCGCGGUAAUACGUAGGGCGCAAGCGUUGUCCGGAAUUAUUGGGCGUAAAGAGCUCGUAGGCGGUUUGUCGCGUCUGGUGUGAAAACCUCAGGCUCAACCUGGGGCGUGCAUCGGGUACGGGCAGACUAGAGUGCGGUAGGGGAGACUGGAAUUCCUGGUGUAGCGGUGGAAUGCGCAGAUAUCAGGAGGAACACCGAUGGCGAAGGCAGGUCUCUGGGCCGCAACUGACGCUGAGGAGCGAAAGCAUGGGGAGCGAACAGGAUUAGAUACCCUGGUAGUCCAUGCCGUAAACGUUGGGCACUAGGUGUGGGGCUCAUUCCACGAGUUCCGUGCCGCAGCUAACGCAUUAAGUGCCCCGCCUGGGGAGUACGGCCGCAAGGCUAAAACUCAAAGGAAUUGA